GAUGAACGCUGGCGGCGUGCCUAAUACAUGCAAGUCGAGCGAACGGACGAGAAGCUUGCUUCUCUGAUGUUAGCGGCGGACGGGUGAGUAACACGUGGAUAACCUACCUAUAAGACUGGGAUAACUUCGGGAAACCGGAGCUAAUACCGGAUAAUAUUUUGAACCGCAUGGUUCAAAAGUGAAAGACGGUCUUGCUGUCACUUAUAGAUGGAUCCGCGCUGCAUUAGCUAGUUGGUAAGGUAACGGCUUACCAAGGCAACGAUGCAUAGCCGACCUGAGAGGGUGAUCGGCCACACUGGAACUGAGACACGGUCCAGACUCCUACGGGAGGCAGCAGUAGGGAAUCUUCCGCAAAGGGCGAAAGCCUGACGGAGAAACGCCGCGUGAGUGAUGAAGGUCUUCGGAUCGUAAAACUCUGUUAUUAGGGAAGAACAUAUGUGUAAGUAACUGUGCACAUCUUGACGGUACCUAAUCAGAAAGCCACGGCUAACUACGUG
RNAcentral lists this ribosomal RNA (497 nucleotides) under uncultured bacterium. RNAcentral's name for it is "partial 16S ribosomal RNA". It matches the Rfam family "Bacterial small subunit ribosomal RNA", at positions 28 to 507 of the family's 1533-position model. The record is from RNAcentral.